UCACCAAACUCUUGAUAGGGUC
This 22-nucleotide non-coding RNA is filed under the name Arabidopsis thaliana (thale cress). Lineage: Eukaryota; Viridiplantae; Streptophyta; Magnoliopsida; Brassicales; Brassicaceae. The record is from RNAcentral.